GCAAGGAGGUCACACCUGUUUCCAUGCCGAACACAGAAGUUAAGCUCCUUAGCGUCGAUGGUAGUCGAACUUACGUUCCGCUAGAGUAGAAC
This 92-nucleotide ribosomal RNA is filed under the name Staphylococcus aureus. Lineage: Bacteria; Bacillati; Bacillota; Bacilli; Caryophanales; Staphylococcaceae. The record is from RNAcentral.